UACGAAGGGAGCUAGCGUUGUUCGGAAUUACUGGGCGUAAAGGGUGCGUAGGUGGCGUGAUAAGUCAGGUGUGAAAUCCCUGGGCUCAACCCGGGAAUUGCAUUUGAUACUAUUGCGCUUGAAUUCGGGAGAGGUAAGUGGAAUUCCCAGUGUAGAGGUGAAAUUCGUAGAUAUUGGGAAGAACACACGUGGCGAAGGCGGCUUACUGGACCGACAUUGACACUGAGGCACGAAAGUGUGGGGAGCAAACAGG
This 253-nucleotide ribosomal RNA is filed under the name uncultured bacterium. RNAcentral describes it as "partial 16S ribosomal RNA". It matches the Rfam family "Bacterial small subunit ribosomal RNA", at positions 524 to 776 of the family's 1533-position model. The record is from RNAcentral.